GUGAUCUUGGGUGAAUGACUUAGCCUCUCGGCGUCAGUGUACUCGUCUGAGAAAAGGCGCUGUGGAGGCUUCUUCCUCCAGGACCAAAUCACAAUGAAUAGCCCCUAAGCCUCCCCACUUGGCCUGCUGAGCUAUCCUCUCCUGUGUCUGAUGAAUGCUGGAGUCAGUACAGCAAGUGCACUGGAUGGCUUUAUGUGCCAACUUGACACAAGCUAUGGAAUCAUCAGAGGAAGGAGCCUCAGCUGAGGAAGUGCCUCCUUGAGAUCCAGCUGGCCUCACAACCAAAUCCAAAGUUCCCAGAACCAGCCUCUCCC
RNAcentral lists this long non-coding RNA (314 nucleotides) under Cricetulus griseus (Chinese hamster). RNAcentral's name for it is "lncRNA (ENSCGRG00015035638.1)". The record is from RNAcentral. Lineage: Eukaryota; Metazoa; Chordata; Mammalia; Rodentia; Cricetidae.